This 254-nucleotide ribosomal RNA is filed under the name uncultured bacterium. RNAcentral's name for it is "partial 16S ribosomal RNA". It matches the Rfam family "Bacterial small subunit ribosomal RNA", at positions 524 to 776 of the family's 1533-position model. The record is from RNAcentral.
UACGUAGGGUGCGAGCGUUGUCCGGAAUUAUUGGGCGUAAAGAGCUCGUAGGCGGUGUGUCACGUCGUUCGUGAAAACCUGCAGCUUAACUGUGGGCGUGCGGUCGAUACGGGCAUGACUGGAGUUCGGCAGGGGAGACUGGAAUUCCUGGUGUAGCGGUGAAAUGCGCAGAUAUCAGGAGGAACACCGGUGGCGAAGGCGGGUCUCUGGGCCGAUACUGACGCUGAGGAGCGAAAGCGUGGGGAGCGAACAGG